RNAcentral lists this long non-coding RNA (1356 nucleotides) under Triticum aestivum (bread wheat). RNAcentral's name for it is "long non-coding RNA (TAES_LNC008209)". Lineage: Eukaryota; Viridiplantae; Streptophyta; Magnoliopsida; Poales; Poaceae. The record is from RNAcentral.
UCAUACAUUAGCUCAUCACACAUACAAAUAGUUCAUUCAUUCUCAUGAGUCACUACACCUAGAUUGCUACAAAACAAAGAUAAUUAAGUGCAUUACACAUAUUGGUUGAGUGUCAAAAGACACGACAUAGAUCCAGUUUUACAAAAUGAAAGCUAAAGAUGCAGCAUCUCCAAAUAGCAAGGAAUGUCCUCCAUUACAAAAUCAUCCAGUUGAUGCAGACAACCGAAUACUAGCUUCUUUAUGCAUUUCCUUCCCAACAGGAUGUUGACAAGAACUUCUUCAAUGGCAUAGGGUCAUUACACAAAUUAUCAAGGUAUUCAGAGUAAUAUACUGAAUACAUGGUUGGUGUUUACCUUGCUAGAUGGCCAUGUAAUUGACCUUGCACAGCCUCGCCAACAUAUCAUAAACCAUCAUACUGAUAAGGCAAUGUAGCAUCCCUUGUAAUCAGACCAUUCACAACAACCUCAUAAGUCUAGAAAUUAGAUAGACAACAACAGCAGCAGGAUUAUAAACAAAUAGAAACUUUAAAUACAGAUGCCAUAGUCAUUGCUUGUUAGAAAUCCCCACAUGAAAAAUCACCAACUAUCUUCGAGAGCGCAUGGCAAUAGUGGCUCGUGCCAAGUUGCCAAGUUGUAAAUAUUUCACAAGAAAAAAAUAAAGAUUCAGGACUGAUAUCUCGAGUCAGGCUCAAUUGUCGACCAUCUGAAACGUUUAGCAGCUAUGGAAAUCAGCGCACUGUAAACGUAUGUCAAACGGAAUUGGGAAACAAGCACAACAUAAAAUAGUAGGCUUCUGCAGAAAAGAAAACAAAUCAAGAGCACUCAAUCAAGCAGGGUUUUCUGCUAUACGCCACAAGUACCUUUUAUCCAACCCAAGCAAAAACACUAGGUUAUCGAAGGUUUUUUACAACACAGAUAUCAUGAUAUCAAAACUACAAUAGUCUGCAUUGACUUAAAAUACAACAAAAAAAUGUUCUCGUCCAACCACAAUAUUUGUAGUCGAUGACAUGAGAGCUAAAUAAUCCAGAACUAAUAAUCCGUACAACUCUACACUUGUGUUUUUAAUGUAGGACCUAUAAUUGAAAUCUAAGACCUAUAUAAAAUAAAUAUCUGAAACCCAGUCUUUGUUCUUGAAAAACAAUUAUAUUACAAGAACCCAUCAGAGAAACAUACAAUGCAUAUGAACAAAUACAUGUAUAUAUGCAGUUAUACCACCAGUACAUUUUGCUACAUCCAAAUAUGUAUCCGAUAUGCGUGCGAGAUAGGAAUACCAUGAUAUGACAAUAUGUGCGUGAUACAGGAAUACCAUGAUAUGUGAAUUCCACCUGAGAAAUACCUUUUCAAAAAACAGGCACCA